AUACUUACCUGACAAAUGGGUUACUGUGUUCUCCUAGGCAGUUCCCCAUGGGCUGGAUUGACCCCUGCGAUUAUCCCUCGUGUGGAUGACUCGUGUGUGCGAUUUUUGGUAACCGGAAUCCCGAUUUUAUCUAAAUCUAA
RNAcentral lists this small nuclear RNA (140 nucleotides) under Anopheles stephensi (Asian malaria mosquito). Its description in RNAcentral is "U1 spliceosomal RNA". It matches the Rfam family "U1 spliceosomal RNA". Rfam says of the family: U1 is a small nuclear RNA (snRNA) component of the spliceosome (involved in pre-mRNA splicing). Lineage: Eukaryota; Metazoa; Arthropoda; Insecta; Diptera; Culicidae. The record is from RNAcentral.